AGCGAAAUGCGAUAAGUAGUGUGAAUUGCAGAAUUCAGUGAAUCAUCGAAUCUUUGAACGCACAUUGCGCCCCUUGGUAUUCCAUGGGGCAUGCCUGUUCGAGCGUCAUUU
This 111-nucleotide ribosomal RNA is filed under the name Didymella sp. NRRL 62785. Its description in RNAcentral is "Peyronellaea sp. NRRL 62785 partial 5.8S ribosomal RNA". It matches the Rfam family "5.8S ribosomal RNA", at positions 47 to 154 of the family's 154-position model. Rfam says of the family: 5.8S ribosomal RNA (5.8S rRNA) is a component of the large subunit of the eukaryotic ribosome. It is transcribed by RNA polymerase I as part of the 45S precursor that also contains 18S and 28S rRNA. The record is from RNAcentral. Lineage: Eukaryota; Fungi; Ascomycota; Dothideomycetes; Pleosporales; Didymellaceae.